Gossypium raimondii (Peruvian cotton) is the source of this 106-nucleotide small nucleolar RNA. It matches the Rfam family "Plant small nucleolar RNA R71". From Rfam's summary of the family: R71 is a member of the C/D box family of snoRNAs containing the C (UGAUGA) and D (CUGA) box motifs. The record is from Rfam. Lineage: Eukaryota; Viridiplantae; Streptophyta; Magnoliopsida; Malvales; Malvaceae.
AAUCCUUGGUGUGGGCUCUUCUGAAUCAACAUCUUGAAAUACUCACAUGCUUCAUGAAGGCUUUCUCCUUCUAACUACUUGAACAUCGAAAUUUCCCUUCUUAGCU